AGAGUUUGAUCCUGGCUCAGAAUCAACGCUGGCGGCGUGCCUCAGACAUGCAAGUCGAACGCGAAAGUCCCCUUCGGGGGACAAGUAGAGUGGCGCACGGGUGAGUAACACGUAGGUAAUCUACCUUUGGAUGGGGAAUAACAACCGGAAACGGUUGCUAAUACCGCAUAAUGCAGCGGCACCUAAUGGUGACAGUUGUUAAAGCGGGGGAUCGAAAGACCUCGCGUCUGAAGAGGAGCCUGCGGCGGAUUAGCUAGUUGGUAAGGUAAUGGCUUACCAAGGCUACGAUCCGUAACCGGCCUGAGAGGGCGGUCGGUCACACUGACACUGACAUACGGGUCAGACUCCUACGGGAGGCAGCAGUCGGGAAUUUUGGGCAAUGGGCGAAAGCCUGACCCAGCAACGCCGCGUGAAGGAUGAAAUCCCUCGGGAUGUAAACUUCGCAAGAACGGGAAGAAUAAGUAGAAGAUAACUCCUUCUAUGAAGACGGACCGUU
This 496-nucleotide ribosomal RNA is filed under the name uncultured bacterium. Its description in RNAcentral is "bacterial SSU rRNA". It matches the Rfam family "Bacterial small subunit ribosomal RNA", at positions 8 to 482 of the family's 1533-position model. The record is from RNAcentral.